GGAUGCGCAGCUAUACAUGCAGUCGAGCGGACAGAUGGGAGCUUGCUCCCUGAUGUUAGCGGCGGACGGGUGAGUAACACGUGGGUAACCUGCCUGUAAGACUGGGAUAACUCCGGGAAACCGGGGCUAAUACCGGAUGGUUGUUUGAACCGCAUGGUUCAAACAUAAAAGGUGGCUUCGGCUACCACUUACAGAUGGACCCGCGGCGCAUUAGCUAGUUGGUGAGGUAACGGCUCACCAAGGCAACGAUGCGUAGCCGACCUGAGAGGGUGAUCGGCCACACUGGGACUGAGACACGGCCCAGACUCCUACGGGAGGCAGCAGUAGGGAAUCUUCCGCAAUGGACGAAAGUCUGACGGAGCAACGCCGCGUGAGUGAUGAAGGUUUUCGGAUCGUAAAGCUCUGUUGUUAGGGAAGAACAAGUACCGUUCGAAUAGGGCGGUACCUUGACGGUACCUAACCAGAAAGCCACGGCUAACUACGUGCCAGCAGCCGCGGUAAUACGUAGGUGGCAAGCGUUGUCCGGAAUUAUUGGGCGUAAAGGGCUCGCAGGCGGUUUCUUAAGUCUGAUGUGAAAGCCCCCGGCUCAACCGGGGAGGGUCAUUGGAAACUGGGGAACUUGAGUGCAGAAGAGGAGAGUGGAAUUCCACGUGUAGCGGUGAAAUGCGUAGAGAUGUGGAGGAACACCAGUGGCGAAGGCGACUCUCUGGUCUGUAACUGACGCUGAGGAGCGAAAGCGUGGGGAGCGAACAGGAUUAGAUACCCUGGUAGUCCACGCCGUAAACGAUGAGUGCUAAGUGUUAGGGGGUUUCCGCCCCUUAGUGCUGCAGCUAACGCAUUAAGCACUCCGCCUGGGGAGUACGGUCGCAAGACUGAAACUCAAAGGAAUUGACGGGGGCCCGCACAAGCGGUGGAGCAUGUGGUUUAAUUCGAAGCAACGCGAAGAACCUUACCAGGUCUUGACAUCCUCUGACAAUCCUAGAGAUAGGACGUCCCCUUCGGGGGCAGAGUGACAGGUGGUUGCAUGGGUUGUUCGUCAGCUCGUUGUUCGUGAGAUGUUGGGUUAAGUUCCCCGCAACGAAGCGCAAACCCUUUGAUCCUUUAGUUUGCAGCCAUUCAGUUUGGGCACUUCUUAAGGUGACUUGCCGUUGAACAAACCCGGAGAAGGUGGGGAUGACGGUCCAAUUCAUCAUGGCCGUUAUGAACUUGGCUUAACCAACGUGUGCUAACAAAUGUGGACCAGAACCAAAAGGGCAGC
Molecule: ribosomal RNA, 1258 nt
Filed under: Bacillus subtilis
Lineage: Bacteria; Bacillati; Bacillota; Bacilli; Caryophanales; Bacillaceae
Description: bacterial SSU rRNA
Rfam family: Bacterial small subunit ribosomal RNA
Source: RNAcentral